This is a long non-coding RNA of Alligator mississippiensis (American alligator), 329 nucleotides long. RefSeq lists it as uncharacterized. The transcript has 2 exons. The record is from RefSeq and is a predicted model, not a curated record. Lineage: Eukaryota; Metazoa; Chordata; Crocodylia; Alligatoridae.
UGUCACAUUUCAUUUCAGAACCAUGACCAAAAGUCCAAGGGCAGCAGGAUGUUGCCUGCCAGACCUGACACCCAGGAUAUGCAAUGUUCCAAGUGAUAUUUAGAAAACUUUUGUGGACAGAACUCUCUGGGGGUGGCAACCAACCCACAGCCCAGUGAUGAGGAGAGUGAAGAUAGUGAAGAGGAGUACAGGAAUACAGUGAAAACAUCUUCAAUUUUUUAAAUUUAUUUUUAUUUUUUUAUAUUUUGUAUAUAUUCGAUAUUGUUAAAUUAUAAAUAGCUAUUGUUAAAGCUUCAGCAUUUUCAUUAAAGUGUUUUAUUUUUGCUCUA